This 198-nucleotide ribosomal RNA is filed under the name uncultured bacterium. RNAcentral's name for it is "partial 16S ribosomal RNA". It matches the Rfam family "Bacterial small subunit ribosomal RNA", at positions 335 to 524 of the family's 1533-position model. The record is from RNAcentral.
ACUCCUACGGGAGGCAGCAGUAGGGAAUCUUCGGCAAUGGGGGGAACCCUGACCGAGCAACGCCGCGUGAGUGAAGAAGGUUUUCGGAUCGUAAAGCUCUGUUGUAAGAGAAGAACGGGUAUGAGAGUGGAAAAUUCAUACUGUGACGGUAUCUUACCAGAAAGGGACGGCUAACUACGUGCCAGCAGCCGCGGUAAU